Molecule: ribosomal RNA, 220 nt
Filed under: uncultured Diversispora
Lineage: Eukaryota; Fungi; Glomeromycota; Glomeromycetes; Diversisporales; Diversisporaceae
Description: partial small subunit ribosomal RNA
Rfam family: Eukaryotic small subunit ribosomal RNA (bases 48-220)
Source: RNAcentral
GGGUCUACCCAUUGGUCAGGCUUAAUUGUCUGUACUGGUGAGAUGGAUCUCUACCUUCUGAGGAACUUUCAUGUCAUUUAUUUGGUGUGAUGGGAAAUCAGGACUGUUACUUUGAAAAAAUUAGAGUGUUUAAAGCAGGCAUUAUUUGCUUGAAUACAUUAGCAUGGAAUAAUAAAAUAGGACGGAUGGUUCUAUUUUGUUGGUUUCUAGGAUCACCGUA